CACAUAAUAAGCUUUCUAACACUACUAGAAAGAGUUACUCACGUUUUGGUAUAAAAACCCGAAGAUCCGUGAGAGAGAAAAUGGCUUUUCUCUAGUUGGAAAUGUGAAUAAUGAAUGAAUUUGGUUCAGAAUUCUAUUUAUAGUCCUGAGAUAUUUUUGGCAGAAAAUAUUUUUAUUCCUGAAAUGAUCUCUAAUAUAAUAGAGUGUUGGAAUAACAGUGUUGCACAAAACCCUAGUGCACCCACUCUCCUGAUAUUUCCUGAAGUGUAAACCCUGAAUUACUCAAACUUACACGAAAAAGUCUGAAAAUUAACUGUGACUGCUAUAACUUCUAUUGAAGUGAUAUAGUUUGUACAGAAUGGAAAUUUCGGGUUGUCACAUCAUCCCCCCGUUAGAAGGAAUUUCGUCCCGAAAUUAGAAUUUAAGCAAAUAAGAAGUUACAAAUAACUAAGCGAAAAGGUGAGGGUAUUUCAGUUUCAUCUGAUCCUCACGUUCCCAAGUGAAUUCCGGUCCACGCUUUGCGUUCCAGCGCACCUUCACUAUCGGGAUACGGCUCUGCUUUGUUUGCUUGACCUCUCGGUCCAUGAUCUCUACUGGUUCCUCCACGAAGUUGAGGCUCUCGUUGAUCUCGAUCUCGUCGAGUGGAAUAACAAGAGUCUCGUCGGAUAGGCACUUUUUCAAGUUUGACACGUGGAAGGUAGGAUGUACGUUACUGAGUUCUUUCGGUAGAUUGAGCUUGUAAGCCACAGGGCCGAUUCUCGCGAGAAUCUCGAAAGGCCCUAUGUAUCUUGGAUUGAGCUUCCCACGCUUUCCAAAGCGUAUCAAGCCCUUCCAGGGUGAGACCUUCAGUAGGACUCGGUCGCCCACCUGGAACUCCAAUGGUUUCCUACGCUUGUCGGCGUAGCUUUUCUGUCGGUCUCUAGAGGCUUUUAAUCGUUCACGAAUUUGAACGAUCUUCUCUGUCGUUUCCCGAAUGAUCUCCGGACCCGUGAGAGUGCUUUCGGGAACUCGUCCCUUAGCUAACUGGGUAUCACCCACUUCAGCCCAGCACAGAGGGGAUCUGCACUUUCGGCCAUAGAGGGCCUCGAAUGGAGCUGCCUUUAUGCUCGUAUGAUAACUGUUGUUGUAGGAAAAUUCAACAAGGGGUAAAUGGGUAUCCCAAGCUUUUCCAAAGUCAAUCACACAGGCACGCAACAUAUCUUCUAAGGUUUGGAUAGUUCUCUCACUUUGCCCGUCGGUCUGUGGAUGAUAGGCUGUACUCAUGUCCAGCCUAGUUCCUAGGGAACUUUGUAAUGACUGCCAGAACCUCGAAGUGAAUCUACUAUCUCGGUCUGAGAUGAUAGAUAAAGGAACACCGUGCAGUCUUACAAUCUCCCUAAUGUAAGUUCUGGUAAGUUUCUCCAUCUUGUCUGUUUCCUUGAUCGGUAGGAAGUGUGCAGACUUGGUCAGUCUAUCGACGAUGACCCAUAUGGAAUCAAGUCCACCCGUCGUCUUGGGCAACUUGGUUAUGAAGUCCAUAGUGAUCCGCUCCCACUUCCAUUCUGGUAUCUCCGGUUGUUGUAGAAGACCGGAGGGUUUCUGGUAUUCGACCUUGACCUUUGCGCAAGUAAGGCAUUUACUCACGAAGGUAGCAAUAUCUGCUUUCAUGUUAGGCCACCAGUAUAACUUUUUAAGAUCCAGAUACAUCUUAUCUGAACCCGGGUGGACGGAAUAACGAGUGUUGUGAGCUUCGGUCAUGACCAAGUCUCUGAAGCCACCGUGUUUCGGUGUCCAGAUCCGAUCCAUGAGGUAUAAGGCUCCGCCACCCUUGACUUCCAAGUUCUUAUCCAUCCCUCUAAGGGAUUCACCCGCCACGUUUUCAGGUUUCAAAGCGUCGAGCUGAGCCUCCUUUAUUUGCGUGGACAAGUGUGAAUGGAUAGUUAGAGUCAAAGAUUUGACUCUACGACCAGUAUAUUCUUUCCGACUUAGGGCGUCGGCUACUACAUUGGCUUUACCCGGAUGAUAACGAAUUUCGCAUUCGUAAUCACUAAGUAGCUCGACCCACCGUCGUUGUCUCAUGUUGAGCUCUUUCUGGUCGAAAAUGUGUUGUAGACUCUUAUGGUCUGUAAAGAUCGUGCUUUUUGUACCGUAUAGGUAAUGUCGCCAGAUCUUCAGAGCAAACACAACUGCUCCUAGUUCAAGAUCGUGGGUUGUGUAGUUAACCUCAUGUGUCUUCAGCUGUCUCGAGGCAUAGGCUAUGACUUUACCUCGCUGCAUCAGAACACAUCCGAGUCCUUGAUUGGAUGCAUCGCAAUAGACAAUGAAGUCUUCUAUUCCUUCGGGAAGGGAUAGUAUCGGGGCGGUGCACAAGGCUCGUUUGAGCGUUUGGAACGCUCUUUCCUGUUUCUCUUCCCAGUCGAAGGCCACGCCUUUCUGGGUCAGGGUUGUAAGAGGUUUCGCUAUGCUGGAGAAGUUCUGAAUGAACCUGCGAUAGUAGCCAGCUAGACCUAGAAAUUGACGAAUUUCAGUAGGUGUCUUUGGUGCUGACCAGUUCUCGAUGGCCUUAAUUUUGGAAGGGUCCACGUGUAUACCUUCUUCGCUAACCACAUGGCCCAAGAAUUCGACUCGCCGAAUCCAAAAUUCGCACUUUGAGAACUUCGCGUAGAGCUUCUCCGAUCGCAAUGUUUCUAAGAUUUUACGGAGAUGUUGACUAUGCUCCUCCUUACUUCGAGAGUAGAUGAGUAUGUCAUCAAUGAAGACGAUGACGAACUGAUCCAAGUAAGGACGACACACCCUAUUCAUCAGAUCCAUGAAUACUGCGGGCGCGUUAGUUAAUCCGAAUGGCAUCACUACAAACUCGUAGUGCCCGUAACGAGUUCGGAAGGCUGUCUUGGGAACAUCCUCCUCUAACACUCGUAGUUGGUGAUAUCCGGAUCGCAGAUCUAUCUUCGAGAAGUAGUUGGCUCCUUGAAGUUGAUCAAAUAAAUCGUCAAUGCGGGGCAAGGGAUAACGAUUUUUAAUGGUAAGUUUGUUGAGUUCUCUAUAGUCGAUGCACAUGCGAAACGAUCCAUCUUUCUUCUUGACGAACAAGACCGGUGCUCCCCAUGGUGAGAAGCUUGGUCGAAUGAAUCCCUUCUUGAGAAGUUCGUUAAGUUGACUGGAAAGUUCCUGCAUUUCAGCCGGUGCCAGACGAUAAGGAGAUUUGGCUACGGGGGUAGCCCCUGGCACUAAGUCGAUUCUGAACUCGACUUGGCGUUGUGGUGGUAAACCGGGAAGUUCUUCUGGGAAUAUGUCGGGAAAGUCGCGUACUUCUGGGAUUUUCUGGAUGUCUUUCAGUUCUUGACUGGUAUCGACGACGUGUGCGAGAAAUGCAUGGUACUCCUUCCGCAAGCACUUCUGGGCUUGAAUGCACGAAAUGAUGCGAAGGCUCGUACUAGGUUUGUCGCCGUAGAUAAUUAAAGUUUCGUUGUUAGGAAGGUUAAGACGAACUGCUUUUUCGAAGCACAUAAUGUCGGCACGAAGAAGACUCAACCAAUCCAUACCGAUGAUAACGUCGAAACAUUUAAUUGUGACUGGCAUGAGAUCUAUCUUGAAAGUAUGGCCAUCUAAAGUUAAGGUACAACCUACGUAUAUGCAGUUUGUACUCUCUGUUUUCCCGUUAGCCAUUUCUACCGUGAAUGAACUAUCUAAUGCACAUGGUUUUUGUUUAAGCAGGUGUGCAAAUUUGUGACUUACAAAACUUUUCUCGGCUCCACUAUCGAAAAGUAUGCAAGCAUAUGAGUUAUCGAGGAGGAACGUACCAGUAACUAUCGUAGGAUCAGCUACUGCUUCCUCGUGGCCUAGGGCCAUAACUCUUCCUACUCCUCCAGCCAUCCCUGCUUUAGGGCAGUUCCUCUUGUAGUGGCCCACUUCGCCACAACCGUAGCAAGCUUGGCCCAUACCGGCGUUAGGAACCUGGGUAGCUUGAGCUGUUGGAGUCUUGCAGAAACGGACGGUGUGUCCCUUCCUGUUGCAGUUAGAGCACUGCAUCUCCCUGCAAGGUCCGUGGUGGUGGAAGUUGCACUUGGUGCACUUCGGGAGAGUCCCAGCAUAUGUUUUUGCUGGUAAGAGGUUCGCAGGGGCAACAGGAGUCACUGUGGCAGCAUUGAUCGCCACAAGUUGUUGCUUAUUGGAGGAUCCUUGCGGAGCCCCUCAUUUCCUCUUAUUCCACCCCUUCUUGUGGUAGUCGGGGUUGGACUUUUGUGGUACAGGUGUAGGGAUUGUUGUGUUCUGAGGUUUCCGGUGAUCGAUGAGAGAUUGUGCUAGUUCCUUGGCGCUAUCAAAGGUAAUAGGCCUGGAAGCGAUCACACUUGACUGGAUCUGGGGCGACAGUCCCCAGAUAUAUCUCUCGAUCUUUUUGCUCUGGAGAGCAACCAUAUCAGGGCAUAAGUUUGCCAAAUCACAGAACCUAUUUGUGUAGGUAGUGAUGUCGGAUCCAACCAUUUGUAGACCCCAGAAUUCUUGCUCGAGUUUUUGUAUUUCACCUCGAGGACAGUAUUCUUUCAUCAGCAUGUCCUUCAACUUUUCCCAGCUGAUGGAAUACGCCACCACCAAAGUCAGAUAGUUAACAUGGCUGUUCCACCAUGUUAGUGCUCUGUCAGAGAAGGUACAAGCUGCAAACUUGACCUUGUUGCCCUCCUGGCAAGCACAGAUUUCAAAGACAGAUUCCAUCUUUUCAAUCCAUUGUCUCAACACCAUAACACCCCCAGUUCCAUUGAAGCUGCGGGGUUUGGCGUUAGUGAAGUCCUUGUAGGUGCAUUCCCGAGGGUGUCCAUGGCUUUCGCCGUGGUUCGAGGGUGGUGCACCUGUUCCUGAUCCACUAGGGGCAGGAGCGUUGAUUGCUGACACAGCAGCUGCAACUGCUGCUGUGAAAGCUGCCUGGAACAUGUUGGCAUCGAAAGGAUUUGGUGGUUGAAGAGGUACAGGUGGUGGUGGAGGUGGUGGUAUUGGUGCUUCGUUGUUUGGGUUCCGCCUUGGAUUCCUGCGUGGCGGCAUCUUUAACUAUACGUUUAAAAGAUGACGACAUGGAUAAGAAUAAAUGAUUAAUGAAUGUGUCUCAUGGACUAAAUCCCCAUAGCCCAACAACAGAAGGAAUAGUAUGACUAAAUGAAGAAGAUAGCAUUUGGAUAAUAAUUUCCAUAAGAUUAGAUAUCUGUCAAUAAUACUGGAAUUACAGAUGUAACAAGUUCGGGAAAAAUGGCCUAGAAGUAGGCCUUACAUCAACCAAGAUGGAAAAUUUUGACAGAAUUAAGACUAGAUCAAGACCUAACAGGUCUAAGAUUUAUACAGAUAGGAAAUUAGACCAAAGUUUUACAUAAACUAGGUUAUAUCCAAAAGAUGAGUCGACGAGAUUCUAUCGGCGACGAGAACUGCUAGCAUGAGUCCUCGAUCCCGACAGUAGACGUUCAAUGUCCCUUAUACGCCUGUCCGACCUUGCUUGCUGAGCUCGAAGUUCUCUAACUUCAGCUUGGGUUUCAGCAAGUUCCCUCUGCAGAUUUGCAUUGCGGACCAGAGUCCUUUCAUGAGCAGACUCUAGUUGGCGAAUGUGGACAGUGUUAACACCAGAGUUGGCGUCAACUUCCAAAACUUGAUUGAUAGUCGCCUGAGCUAUUAUCGAGUUCCGAGAAAUCCUACGCACCAUGAUUGGUAGGACUCUAUCAGCAGAACCUCCUUCAGUGAGGUUGUAGAAACUUCGGUCUCCAUUGUAGGGAAUGGGCUGACCCUGUUCAUGACUCCAUGUAAUCAAGUUAAUGGCCCACAGAGGUGUGGGUCCUUGAAACACAGGACGGGGGUUCAGGUUUGGGUUUUGAGCAGCUGGGGGUAGGUUGUUGACUUCAGGCUCUGAGUCAGAACUAUCGGAAAAACCCUCAGCAUGGUGAUCAUCCAAAGGGAUUGGGUGAUCAUCUUCUGGUUCUGCCUCUAGCCAACCAGCAUUGCCUUGGUUUGGGAAGUACGGAUCGCCAUGGUGAAAUCCAGCCAUUUUAAUCUACGCGAGAAAAGGGAUAUAAGAAAUAGCUAAAAUAGACGAACUAACUAAGAUAAUUACAGUAAGACCAAAUACCCAUAUGGUAUUUCUUUAUGGUUGUGUUGGUAAGUUUUUAGACUUGUUGCCAUAUCACAACCAUUCUUGGGCAUAUUCUAAUCACUCCUCGGACCAGCAUAGUUGAUCAGGCUAUGCCAUUCCCAAGACUGACCAUAUAUCCCCAGGCUUACUUGUGAUAUUCAACAAUCGUAAUACUUUUGUUCUUGUCGUUGUGACACUGAUUUUAGUAUGAAUGCAGGCACGUAUACUUACUUAAAUAUUUUAUUAUUUAAAAGUAUAACUCUGAGACAGAGUGUUUUAAUCCCAUGUAUUUAUAGUUAGUAUAUCUUUUAUGGGUUGAUAUACUUAAUUCACUAUAAACAAUGCUCUGAUACCAAUCUGUCACACCCCAAAACCACGAACGGCGGAAACGUUCAGGGGUGGAGGACGUCAUGUACAGUAUCACAACAGUGUAAUAUAAUAAACAAGCAACAACAUCAUCCAUUGCAUUAUAAGUAAAGUUUAAUACAUGUGUGUUCUUUCAUUGUAAUAAGACACCAAAAAUAUACAAUCAAAAUAAAAGACGAGACUUGUCUGCUCCGUCUUCUCAAAACCUGGCCUCCGUACCUGUCUACUGAUGACCUGAGAAUACAAGUUAUUUUGAAAGCGAGUAUCAGCUUUAAAGCUGGUGAAUUCAUAAGUAUAUAAGUGUCAUUGCCUUGUUUGUGAAAAUCUGUUAUGAAGGCCAUGUAAACCUUUAAAUGAAAAUGUUGAGGUAAGUAUGAAAUCCCUAGAAAAACCCUUAUUUUCUAUAAGUAUGAAAUGUAGUCUUCUACCAAGACCCGAAUGUUCUGUACGUAUGAAGUGUAGUCUUCUACCAAGACCCGAAUGUUUUGUAAGUAUGAAGUGUAGUCUUCUACCAAGACCCGAAUGUUCUGUUUGUAAAAUGAUAGUUUUUCCUUUGUAUUGACUAGUACUAAAAGUGCUUAGUCUAACUCAUCGUUUAUGUGAAUGUAUCACAAAAUAAAGUAAACAGGAAAAUGUACUACUGUAAGUGUUGUCACUGGGUACUAGGACCAACACAACAUCGCAUUAAGCGAAAUGUAUAACCUAAUGAACAUCCGAAGAUUGUCCAAUUGUCCUCUGUAGCAGCAGCAGGUGGGUGGAAGGGUUAGUCCCAAAUCGAUCUACCUAAUAUAAGUAGUAACCUUAGACCUCCGUAGAUGGUCAUCGACCACUGGUGCUAAUCAGUGGGGUUCGGAAUGGUAAGUCCCGCCGAGCUAUCCCAUUGAACCGGGAUAGGAAAGAUAAUUUACACAGUAAGUACUAAUAAAUCAUCCUCGUAGUCCUAAGUACAAGUAUCCAGGUAAGUGAAUACAGGAUAAUGCACCUAUGUAAAAGUGUUCCUGUAUGGUAUUCAUGUAUGUGUGUCCAUGUAACAGGUAAGUAUAUGUAAACAUAUUCAUGUAUCAGGUAAACAUCUGUAAGUACUCAUGUAUCAGGUAAUGUACUAGUAUAGACUCAUGAAUGAACUGACUCUUGUGUGAUUCCUUGUAAUAGAAGUAAUGUUUGAUAUCUUCAAAUUAUCCCUAUGAUAAUUUACUGUAAUAUAACUGGUUGAUCAUGUAGGUUUAUACACUCUUACUACUCAAGGGUGUGGGAAACUAAAUGAAAGAUGUAAACUAUAACAUCAAUACAUAUAUAAGAAUAUAAGUGUAUAUGCAUAGUUUAGUUCAAGAAUGUAAAAUGGUUUUGUAAGACAUCUUAUUGGUUUUGAACAAUAAUUAACAAUGACUUGAUGUCAUUUUAAUAUACAUUUCAAAGGUAAAACAUUUGAUAACAAUGUGUUUUUAAGAUUUAAAACCAUUUCAUGCAUCACAUUUUGUAGUAUGUGAAAUCUGUUAAAUGACAAACAUAGUUAUAAAAUACAUAACAAUGAUUUAAUAACAUGUUUGUUUCUACUUGUAUUCCCCCCUUUAAAGCAUUUAAAAUCAUUUAAAACAUUGAUUAGGGGUAUGAACUCACCUGUAGUUGGUGAUUGGGAUGAACUGAACGGUAUAGGAUGGCUAGGUGUCAAGCGAGGACUUGUACACACACUACGAUCCUAAUGAACAUAUAAUCACACAUAUAUGCAUUCAAUUAGUCUUAAAUCACUAAUUGAUAAUGUUAAGACAUCCUAGACAUAAUAAACACUUUAUAUAAGUGUUUUAAGCCCUAAGGAUUGCAUCUAAGCUAUUGUGGGACAAGGUACUUGUGUUUAGGGUUCCAAAGGACCCUAUAUGUGAGUUUACUCCCCAUAUACCAUCACACAUGGAGUUUACGGUUGUAAACUCUUGAGUUUACGGCCGUAAACUCCCAACCAUGGGGGUUUGGUGUGUUUUGAAGUCCCUAAUGAUUCCUAGAAUUAUUCCAACUUGGUGGCUAAGUCCUUGGAAGGGUUUAAGGUCUAGAAACACUCCAUUUAGGAGUUUACGGCCCUAAGGCCAUUCCCCUUAGAGUUUACGGCCGUAAACUCUAAGUAUGGUGUGUUUUUGAUGCUUUCAAGUCUCUUGCACUUGUGGUAUAGGUUCUAGACUUUUAUUCCAAGCAUAUGAAGACCAUUGACACACUUUGGUGCCCCUUUAAUGAGUUUACGGCCCAUGAACCAUGUCAUGGCCGUAAACUCACUUUGAAAUGUGAUUUUGAUGUGCUUUGGUCCUUAGAUUAAGUGGGGAACAAUUCCAUGUAAAGGUCUAGGGCUUUAGGUGUCUUAAUAACACCCUUUGGUCCAUUUCUAUGGAGUUUACGGCCUAAGAUACACUUGGGCCGUAAACUCUCAUUUGUUUGUGUUCUUUGAUGUGCUUAAGGCCUUAGAUUAAAUGGGAACUAGUCUUGAUAAAAGUCUUAAAGCUUUAGUGGCCUUAAAACAUCAUUUUGAGUUUGAAAAGGGAGUUUACGGCCUAAGCAACUCUUGGGCCGUGAACUCCCAAACUUGGGUGAUUUAUGGUUGUUUUCUUGUCCCUAACACACAUACAUAUGAGUCUAAGGCAGUUGUAUAACACAAGGGUCGGUUUUGGCUUUGUUUCGGGAGUUUACCGCCCAAGAACACCUUGGGGAGUAAACUCCUAGAUCUAAUGAUUUAGCCAUCUAAAUCAUGUUAUAAGCACAUAAUAAGCAUUCUAACACUACUAGAAAGAGUUACUCAAGAUUUGGUAUAAAAACCCGAAGAUCCGUGAGAGAGAAAAUGGCUUUUCUCUAGUUGGAAAUGUGAAUAAUGAAUGAAUUUGGUUCAGAAAUCUAUUUAUAGUCCUGAAAUAUUUUUGGCAGAAAAUAUUUUUAUUCCUUAAAUGAUCUCUAAUAUAAUAGAGUGUUGGAAUAACAGUGUUGCACAAAACCCUAGUGUACCCACUCUCCUGAUAUUUCCUGCAGUGUAAACCCUGAAUUACUCAAACUUACGCAGAAAGUCUGAAAGUUAACUGUGACUGCUAUAACUUCUAUUGAAGUGAUAUAGUUUGUACAGAAUGGAAAUUUCGGGUUGUCACACAUACCGCAUGCCACAUAAUAUU
This 9585-nucleotide long non-coding RNA is filed under the name Lactuca sativa (garden lettuce). Its description in RNAcentral is "long non-coding RNA (LSAT_LNC007190)". The record is from RNAcentral. Lineage: Eukaryota; Viridiplantae; Streptophyta; Magnoliopsida; Asterales; Asteraceae.